This 256-nucleotide long non-coding RNA is filed under the name Hordeum vulgare. Its description in RNAcentral is "long non-coding RNA (HVUL_LNC017049)". The record is from RNAcentral. Lineage: Eukaryota; Viridiplantae; Streptophyta; Magnoliopsida; Poales; Poaceae.
UUGAAAUUUGGAGGUGGGCCUUAGGCCCACUAGAGAAUUUCAGAAAAUCUAAAGGGCCCAUGUAGGUGGUGGCAUGGCAAGGUGGUGGGAGUUUAGUCCCACCCCGCUAGUGGAGGAGAGUUUGGACCCCUUUAUAAGGGUCUCUCUUCCACAUGCUAUUGGAGAGUGAGAAGAGAAGGUGCCCUCGCGCACUCCUCCUCCGCCGCCCGCCUCGCCACGCCACGCCACGCCACGCCACGCCACGCCUCGUCACGAC